GUGCCAGCCGCCGCGGUAAUACGGAGGAUGCGAGCGUUAUCCGGAUUUAUUGGGUUUAAAGGGUGCGCAGGCGGCCUGGUAAGUCAGCGGUAAAAUCGUGGGGCUCAACCCCAUCCUGCCGUUGAUACUGUCGGGCUUGAUUGCGGUCGAGGUAGGCGGAAUUCGUCGUGUAGCGGUGAAAUGCAUAGAUAUGACGAAGAACACCGAUUGCGUAGGCAGCUUACCAGACCGCAAAUGACGCUCAGGCACGAAAGUCGGGGAUCGAACAGGAUUAGAUACCCUGGUAGUCCGCACAGUAAACGAUGAAUACUUGCUUUUGGCGAUAUACGGUCAGAGGCAAAGCGAAAGCGAUAAGUAUUCCACCUGGGGAGUACGCCGGCAACGGUGAAACUCAAAGGAAUUGACGGGGGCCCGCACAAGCGGAGGAACAUGUGGUUUAAUUCGAUGCUACGCGAGGAACCUUACCCGGGCUUGAAAGUUAGUGACGGACCUUGAAAGAGGUCUUCCCUUCGGGGCACGAAACUAGGUGCUGCAUGGUUGUCGUCAGCUCGUGCCGUGAGGUGUCGGCUUAAGUGCCAUAACGAGCGCAACCCUUUUCUCCAGUUACCAUCAUUAAGUUGGGGACUCUGGAGACACUGCCAUCGUAAGAUGUGAGGAAGGAUGGGAUGACGUCAAAUCAGCACGGCCCUUACGUCCGGGGCGACACACGUGUUACAAUGGGCAGGACAGAAUGGAUCGAGGUGGCGACACUGAGGGAAUCACGAAACCUGCUCCCAGUUCGGAUUGGAGUCUGCAACCCGACUCCAUGAAGCUGGAUUCGCUAGUAAUCGCGCAUCAGCCAUGGCGCGGUGAAUACGUUCCCGGGCCUUGUACACACCGCCCGU
Molecule: ribosomal RNA, 884 nt
Filed under: uncultured rumen bacterium
Lineage: Bacteria
Description: bacterial SSU rRNA
Rfam family: Bacterial small subunit ribosomal RNA
Source: RNAcentral